Molecule: long non-coding RNA, 3799 nt
Filed under: Lupinus angustifolius (narrow-leaved blue lupine)
Lineage: Eukaryota; Viridiplantae; Streptophyta; Magnoliopsida; Fabales; Fabaceae
Description: long non-coding RNA (LANG_LNC000371)
Source: RNAcentral
UUUGCUUAGAAGUAUUAUCCAAAAGUAAAUGUUUGACGGUCCAGGUAAAAUUUCACUUUAAAUUAUUACAGUGAAAUCCAAUUCUAACAUAUUUGGACUUUGGACAUAAUAUUAUUACAGUGAAAUCAUGCAUGCAAUGUGGAAACCUCAGAAGUUCAAAUGUAUCUAUCUUUAUGCUACACUUUAUGUAUUUACCCUCACACUACCAUCUGCUACUGCUAUGUAUUGGGCCUUUGGUGACAAACUCUUAGACCAUUCCAAUGCCUUUGCUCUUCUCCCUCGUUCUGCUUGGCGUGAUGCUGCUGUAGUAUUAAUGCUCAUUCAUCAGGUCCAUAUACAUUGUUUUUCCUAUCUUCUUUCUUAUAAUUAUUUUUUGUAUCUCAUUUAAUUUGUAUUGUAAUUUGCAGUUUAUCACGUUUGGAUUUGCUUGUACUCCAUUGUAUUUUGUGUGGGAGAAAGUAAUAGGAAUGCAUGACACAAAGAGCAUAUUCUUGAGAGCUCUAGCAAGAUUACCUGUGGUGAUACCAAUAUGGUUUUUAGCUAUUAUUUUCCCUUUCUUUGGUCCCAUUAACUCAGCUGUGGGGGCUCUUUUGGUUAGCUUCACUGUCUAUAUCAUCCCUGCUUCUGCCCAUAUGCUCACUUUCAAAUCUGCUUCUGCAAGACAGGUAUAUGCUCCAAUCUCAACACAUCUUAUCUUUUCUUUAAAGUUUCUAUCUAACUGGUGGGACGGAUCCAGGCCGAGUUAUGCUUGUCUCAUACCCAAUUCUAAAUAUUGACAAAGUCUAAUUUUUAAACUCAAACCUAAUCCCAAACAUGAUGAGACCACCCUAUUCGGGCCUGAUCAUGAUCAGAAAAAGCUGAAUGAGCGGAAGGGUCGGGUCCUGCUCGCUUGUAGUCUCACUCAUCUAAUUUUACUGUAUACACAGUGAAUUUCUCUUCAUUUAUAAUUAUAACAUAUCUAAUAUCACUAUUAAGGCAUGCUCAUGUCAAUCUAGGCUUUAAUAGGGAAAAAUAGUAGUAACAUAACAUGUCUCUCUUACAUAUGUUAUGUGACAGAAUAUAUUAAAGUAUAUAAGUAUGAAGAAAAUAUGAGGUGUCUAUUUAUAUCUAUAUUACAAAUAGUUGUAUUAAUUGAUGUGAUGUGUAAGUGGUAUGGUAUCUAAUAUAUUGUCUCUAAUAAUCAGCAUGUACAUUCUGUUUACAGCCUGUAACUACCUAUAAUGAUACACCAAAUUUAGGCACUGUGGUAUAUGUCCUACACAAAAGCUAAACCUUUAAAACAAAAUCUUUUCAAUGAGAAGAACUAUAAUGGAAAUCCAAGAUUUUCCAUUUUUAUGACCAAAUCUUAGAAAAAUGUCUAAUGGGGUUCUUAAAACUCCUUGUGGUGUGCAUGUGUCAAAGGAUAGGAUAGGAUUCUAGCUUCAUGAUUUAACUUGGAAGUGACUCCCAAUAUCACUAGUUCUAUUAAUUAUUCGAAUUUGGAGAUUUAUGAGAUAUGGUGAGGUUGGUGUCAUUUCUUUGUCAUUCAGUUAUAUGCUAUAGUCAUAUUACCCUCUGAUACUAUAUGAGCCACAUUUUUAACAAUGAGCUGGGGUCAUGACCAACCUAACACUCUUAUGUGACCCUACUCACUAGUACUCAUGUUACUAUUCUGUCCUUGUUCCUAAUAGAUGCUCAUAAUGAGUUAGCAAUUUAUUACAGGUGUUGGUCAAGUGGCAUAAGACCUUGUUAGAUUUUAAGGAUGACCAAAAUGUUAAAGUUUUGAUUCAUGUGAGUGACAUUUGUUGGAAGAGACAUCUACUACCCCUUCUUUACAAAAAAAACCAUAAGUUAACAAUUUCAAAGGUCCUUAUUUCAGUACUAGAGACACAAGUUAUUGAUUUUGCUUUUAUAUUCAAGGAUAAAAGUGUCAUCACAUUGCAAUAUAAAAAGCAUAAAAGUGUCACAUCAUACCAUUUUUUUUCUUUUGUUUUUCAUGCACUUCAUUCUUUCAAUAUUGGAGAGGAUCGAGACCCACUUAGUUCAUUAUUUAUUUGUUCUUUUUUUUUCAGAAUGCUGCAGAGAAAUUGCCCUUCUUCAUCCCAAGCUGGACUUUAAUGUAUGUGAUCAAUGCAUUCGUGGUUGUGUGGGUUCUAGUUGUAGGCUUUGGAUUUGGAGGUUGGGCUAGCAUGACAAAUUUCAUUAGGCAAGUUGACACAUUUGGACUAUUUGCCAAGUGCUAUCAGUGCCCACCAAAAGUCCCAGCUACCAACCAAACACUGCAUCACUGAAAAAUUAUGUUCUUUGUUGUUAGCAUCUCCUCCAUUGUGUGGUGUGAGCUCUAUUUUUUCCCUUUUUUGUUGUCUAAUCUCCUUAUAGAUACAUUGUUGUUAAUGUUGAUGUUCUUUUGUGUUGCAUAUGGCAACAUUGUUGUUAUUUUGCAUAUGAAUCAUUUUGGUUAAUUAUGUAAAGAUGAUUAUGGCUAACUUAGGAUUUGGUGUUUGAUAAUUGGCAUAUGGUGGCCUCAAAGUAAAGCAUGGAAAGUUUCUAGUAAUGUAUGAACUCUUAGAUAAGAUAAUCAGUUUUUAAUCUUCAUAAAUGACCACUUGGACAAGAGGACUUGGACUUACAUAUUUGGAGCAUGCUGUGCCACCACAGUGUUCAUACCCUCAUUCCAUAAUUACAGGAUUUGGUCCUUCCUUGGCCUUGGCAUGACCACAUACACAGCUUGGUACUUGACCAUUGCAGCCCUUGUUAAUGGCAAGGUAAGUGUCCCACAGUUUGUAUCACUCUAUGUGUCAUCAGCUACGAUUGGUCGAAAACAAUGCAUUUAAAUUAAAGAUUUAAUUAUUAAAUAUUUUUCUAAUAAAUUAUAAUUUGUUUGAUUUCAUAGUGGGUCCUCUUGUUUGAAUUCAUUUGAUAUUAACUUGGUAUAAAAUUUGUAUUUUUUUAGGCUGAAAAUGUGACACACACAGGCCCAAACAAAAUGGUAUUGUAUUUCACAGGUGCCACUAAUAUCCUAUACACUUUCGGCGGGCACGCUGUUACAGUGUAAGUAACCCUUUUUCUUAUAAUAAUUUUUUAUCAUAAGCUAGACAAAACAAUGAUGAUAGUUUUCUUUAUUGUCUUAGGACAAUGAAACAUAAAAAAUAAUACUACAAGUUUAUUAUACGACCACUUUUCUUAAGUUGCAGCUUUUGCCUCCAAUGUAAUGAAAUAAGACAAACAGUAAAUCUGGCACUUAUGAUUCUCUGAACAACCAUUACAGUAGUGUCUUGGCUUAUAGUUAUACUCUGUCAUUAGCAUUAAAAAAUUCAAACCCCAGUUUAACUUUUUCUUUAAUCUGAAGCUCUUAUGUUAAGAAUUCAGAUUUUGCUUUUCUACCAAGUCACCUUCAAUGUGGUAGAUUUGCAUCUAUAUUAUUAUUAUAACUGAGUAGUGACAUUUUACCUCAUUAUCAUUUAUACCAAUCUUCUAGUUUACAUUUCUCACAGUAAAAGGAAAGGGUAACUACAUAGACAAAUAUGCAAUAUAAAAUAUAUUAUACUUUUCACCCUUUAUUAAUUUAUAUAUAUGUUUUUCUCUCUAAUUUGCUUAGAAGUAUUAUCCAAAAGUAAAUGUUUGACGGUCCAGGUAAAAUUUCACUUUAAAUUAUUACAGUGAAAUCCAAUUCUAACAUAUUUGGACUUUGGACAUAAUAUUAUUACAGUGAAAUCAUGCAUGCAAUGUGGAAACCUCAGAAGUUCAAAUGUAUCUAUCUUUAUGCUACACUUUAUGUAUUUACCCUCACACUACCAUCUGCUACUGCUAUGUAUUGGGC